This 65-nucleotide transfer RNA is filed under the name Nephus voeltzkowi. RNAcentral's name for it is "tRNA-Asn". Lineage: Eukaryota; Metazoa; Arthropoda; Insecta; Coleoptera; Coccinellidae. The record is from RNAcentral.
UUAAUUGAAACCAAAAUAGAGGUAAAUCACUGUUAAUGAUUUUAAUGAGUCUAACUCCAAUUAAA